UACAGAGGGGGCAAGCGUUAUUCGGAAUUAUUGGGCGUAAAGAGCGCGCAGGCGGUCGUUCAAGUCGAGUGUGAAAGCCCCCGGCUCAACUGGGGAGGGUCAUUCGAUACUGAUCGACUCGAAGGCAGGAGAGGGAAGUGGAAUUCCCGGUGUAGUGGUGAAAUGCGUAGAUAUCGGGAGGAACACCAGUGGCGAAGGCGACUUCCUGGCCUGUUCUUGACGCUGAGGCGCGAAAGCUAGGGGAGCAAACGGG
RNAcentral lists this ribosomal RNA (253 nucleotides) under uncultured bacterium. RNAcentral's name for it is "partial 16S ribosomal RNA". It matches the Rfam family "Bacterial small subunit ribosomal RNA", at positions 524 to 776 of the family's 1533-position model. The record is from RNAcentral.